Molecule: ribosomal RNA, 477 nt
Filed under: uncultured bacterium
Lineage: Bacteria
Description: partial 16S ribosomal RNA
Rfam family: Bacterial small subunit ribosomal RNA
Source: RNAcentral
UAGGGAAUCUUCCACAAUGGACGAAAGUCUGAUGGAGCAACGCCGCGUGAGUGAAGAAGGUUUUCGGAUCGUAAAGCUCUGUUGUUGGUGAAGAAGGAUAGAGGCAGUAACUGGUCUUUAUUUGACGGUAAUCAACCAGAAAGUCACGGCUAACUACGUGCCAGCAGCCGCGGUAAUACGUAGGUGGCAAGCGUUGUCCGGAUUUAUUGGGCGUAAAGCGAGCGCAGGCGGAAUGAUAAGUCUGAUGUGAAAGCCCACGGCUCAACCGUGGAACUGCAUCGGAAACUGUCAUUCUUGAGUGCAGAAGAGGAGAGUGGAACUCCAUGUGUAGCGGUGGAAUGCGUAGAUAUAUGGAAGAACACCAGUGGCGAAGGCGGCUCUCUGGUCUGCAACCGACGCUGAGGCUCGAAAGCAUGGGUAGCGAACAGGAUUAGAUACCCUGGUAGUCCAUGCCGUAAACGAUGAGCGCUAGGUGUU